UUAAAGUUUGAUUCUUGCUUGGAUUUUAACUUUAUAACUUAAUGUGUAUGUAAGUUUUUGUGGGAAAUAAUUAAAUAGUUAUUUAAAAUAAUUAUAUUUGUUACAGUCGCACUAUAUAGUAUUAAAAGAUAAAUGAAACUUUGAUUCAGAAGUAAUUAAUCAUUCCGAUUAAAAUCUGUGCCCGCACUCGCGGUUAGACUAAAGGGGUGUGUUACAUGUUUUAGGUUUUACUUAAUAUAGGUACUUAUCUAUUGUCUAUUAAAACAAUAGGUGAAAUUAGUAUACUCAGGGUAGAUAACAGUACCCCACCCUCCAAGCUCGGAAAGCUGAGAGAACAACUAGGAUUAGAUACCCUAUUAUACUUAGCUUUAAUAUUAUAAACUAAAUUAUUAAUAGUUAUGUUCUUGAAAUUUAGAGAAUUUGGCGGUAUUUUAGUCUAUUUAGAGGAACCUGUUUUUAUAAAACGAUAAACCACGAAUUAUCUUACUUGUUUUUAUGGUUUGUAUACCGUCAUUAUUAGAUAAUUUUUAUAGAAUAAAUUAUUAAAAUAAGUUAUGUUUAGUAUAUUAGAUCAAGGUGCAGCUUAUAAAUAAGUAAAAAUGGGUUACAAUGAAGUUUAUUUAUUAUGGAUUAAUUUUUGAAAUAGAGUUAUGAAGGUGGAUUUAAUUGUAAUAUAAAUUUAAUAAGUUUAUAUGAUAUUAGCUCUAAAUUAUGUACAUAUUGCCCGUCGCUUUCAUUAUUAAGAUGAGAUAAGUCGUAACAUAGUAGUUAUACUGGAAAGUGUAUCUAGUUGUAAA
Molecule: non-coding RNA, 797 nt
Filed under: Dynomene pilumnoides
Lineage: Eukaryota; Metazoa; Arthropoda; Malacostraca; Decapoda; Dynomenidae
Source: RNAcentral